This is a long non-coding RNA of Dasypus novemcinctus (nine-banded armadillo), 2539 nucleotides long. The record is from Ensembl. Lineage: Eukaryota; Metazoa; Chordata; Mammalia; Cingulata; Dasypodidae.
UGGAGUGGACGCCCUGUAAGGGUAGGGCCUGGCCCAUGUCAUUCCCAGCUGGCUCUUCUAUGGCAAGAACGGGCAAGGAACCGGCAUUCGUCGAGCGGACGGCGAAGCAUGCUGUUAGCGUUGUGCUGGGCGACCCAGGGUCCCAGCGUGCGAUUAGAGCGGGAGGUGGACAGGUGAGGUUCGUGGGCUGUGGUCGCUGCGUGCCUUUGUCAUCGGGGCAUGGCGGGGAGGGUCCAUGUGGCCUGGGAGGGGCAGAAGAGCUCGAAGGGGCCAGUGCUCCGGGAGUCCGUGUUGUCCAGGGCGGGGUCCUGGGGCUACAAGCUUUUCGAGGGCCUACGUGAGUACUGGAAAAGGGGUUACUGCCUCCGAAACAGGAAGAGAAAACUGCAGCAUUGGUGCGAGCAUGUUUAAUCGAGCGUCUGCCAGGUGGACCAGCACGCCGACUCGUCAACGGCGAUUCCACGCAGCUGCUACAGGACACACCUCCUGUGGGGAUGGUAGGAGGCACAGCGUGCGUCACACCUUCCGCGGAGUCCCUGGCUGAGGAAGCCACACGAAGUGUUUGCCGUGGAGCGCACACCUCUUCGACGAUGCCGAUGGAACCCCAGUCACUUCUUCCAGGCUCCUCUUCAUAAAUCACCGUGAUUUUGGAAGGAUGUUUUGCUAAGGCACAUUUUUCCCGCUUCCUCCCUUCCCUCUAAGGAGUUAAGCUUUUGCACUCCCCCCUCCUUCCUGUCUCGCUCCUCCCUUAUUCCCCAUGGGCAAAGCAGUGACAUCUGAGGUCUGUGCUGGGGCACUUUGCCGUGGGCCGGGGAGAGCAGAGCUUGGCAGGGGUGUGGGGACAGCCCCAGAUGUCCAGGGGGGCAGGUCUGCUGCUGCCCCCUGCGAAGGGAAUGUGCUCACCCCACCUGCGUGGGGCAUGCUAUGCGUUUCCGGGACCGCAGGAAGCCUGCACCCGAGGUGCCGAGUGCUCUUGUGUCUGGGGUCUGAAAUCUGAAAUCAGCAUGGGGACCAAAUGCGGAGCAACAAGUUGUGUGUGAGUGUGACGAGUAUGUGUAAGUGUGAGAGAUGUGAAUGUGUGUGAUGUGAGUGUGGUGUGUGCAUACAUGUGAGUGUGAGUUGAUGGGUGUGUGUAUGGGACGUGACUGCCAUGUGUGAGCGUGAAUGUAGGUGUGUUUGUGCAUGUGUGAGAGUAUGUUUAUGAGUGUGCUGUGUGUAUGGUGUGUGUAUGGGAUGUGUGACUGAGCGUAUGACUCUGUGUGAGUGUUUUGAGUGUGGUUCUACAUGCCAGCAGUUUACAGUUUUGUUUGUUUAAAAACACCAUCCUGAGAAACAGAUGUAGCUCAAGCAAUCAGGCAUUGCCUACCACAUGCGAGAUCCAGGGUUCGGUUCCCAGUGCCUCCUAAAGAAGACGAGCAAGACAGUGAGCUGACGCGAUGGGUAGCGUGGCGAGCUGAUGCAACAAGAUGAUGUAUUGAGAUGAUGCAACAAGGAGACAAUGAGGAAACACAAUGAGAGACACAACAAGCAGGGAGUGGAUGUGGAUCAAGCAAUUGGGCACCUCCCCCCCACAUGGGAGGCCCUAGGUUUGGUUCCCAGUGCCUUCUAAAGAAGAUGAGUUAACACACAGAGCAAACAAUGAACAGAUAAGAGAGCAGACAGCGAGUGCAGACAACGAUGAGGGUGGUGGUGGGAGAAAUAAGUAAAUCUGAAAAAGCCCCACCAUUCUGACUUACCUUACAAGAUGAAAGGUCCCUUAGAACUUGAAGGUGCCUUUUUGGAGGUGGCGCCUCACUCCUGACGUCCUGACGCCGCAGCAGUCCUCUCUGCUAUCUGAAUUCAGCUCUUACACCUUCUCCUCAUCUGAUUCUCCUUGGAAACCACUUACUGGACAGCAGUGAGAGGGAGCCAAUAUGGUUUUACCCCUUCCUUAAACUCAACUUUGGUGACCCUAUAAAAAAUAGGCAAUCAUUAGCCUUGCUCAUGGUAAGAAUGGAGAAGGAAAUCACCUUCCUUUCGACAACAGGAACUAUCAACUAUUACAGCCACUGCAUUGUAACUCUUUCCUACAGUAGGUAAUAGAUGCACAAGAAAAAGAACACAGAAAUAAACCCUGAGGAUUUCCUUGCAAACUUCCUUUCUCCUCUUUGUUCCUGUCUCCAGUCUCCUGCCUCCUCUGUGGUAUGGGUUCUCUUCUCUCUGAUUCUCUCUUCAGGCAGUCAUGAUAUUUGCAUAUUAAGAAACUCUUUGUAGGUUUUCUACCAUUGUAUGAAGAAAGACGUGCCAGUGCUGUGUCAAAAAAAAGUCACAUUCUGAACACUUUUAAAAUGUGUGCAUUCAAAUCAAGAUAAAUAUAUUCGUUAACGGAGAGGGAUUUAUUUAUCAAAGGAUUUAAUAAAAUACUUUUAUUGCAUUUAUAGCAAAUAUCUAAUAAAGGACUAGCAGAGCUGAAAUUAUAGCACAUGCAAAUAUGUUUCUUGAAAAGUGAUUUCAAUGUACCCAUACAAUAAAAAAAAUUUUCAAUUUCUAAAAAAGCAAU